GAAUACCCAACAAACUGGACAUUAUUGGUGUUAAGAAGACCCAGAAAAUCACUGUAAUCAAUCCUAUGCGAAUUCUCAGGAUCCCACUCUGUUCCUUUCAACUUUCCCCGCAUAGUCAGCAAGGCCCUGCUCCAACUCGAAGCCAUGACCAGCUGCCUCUCUAAUUGGACAUUUGCCUUCCGUUCAAGCUCUUCCAGCUUACUUAUCCGUUGUCUCUCGGCAUCUUUUUUUUUUUGGUAAAGUCUAAUAAUUUUUUUUUGGUAAAGGUCUCUCGGCAUCUUUCAG
This 285-nucleotide long non-coding RNA is filed under the name Eucalyptus grandis. Its description in RNAcentral is "long non-coding RNA (EGRA_LNC005342)". The record is from RNAcentral. Lineage: Eukaryota; Viridiplantae; Streptophyta; Magnoliopsida; Myrtales; Myrtaceae.